This 405-nucleotide long non-coding RNA is filed under the name Pan troglodytes (chimpanzee). RNAcentral's name for it is "long non-coding RNA NONPTRT011720". The record is from RNAcentral. Lineage: Eukaryota; Metazoa; Chordata; Mammalia; Primates; Hominidae.
AGGGGAGAAAAAGCAGAGUAUCAGGCCCGGGACUUAAUUAUAAGGAAAGUGGAGUUCUGCAAAAGGCUGAAUUUUCAUGGGUUUCAGCACCAUUCUCCAAGGACUUAGAAUCUGAAUCAGUGGUACAAGACCUCACAUAAUAUUGCAUCAGGGAAAAGGACAUACUUUGGAACAAAAGGACAAAAGAGAAGAGGAAAGACCAGAAGAGGAAAGGCUUGCCACACUAACCUGAGUUCCCUGUGCUGGUUUGAAGUACUCAGUUCCCUUACCAAUUUCCAACUGUCUUUUUCCUACAACUUUAAUGUUUGUUGAGUGUAUGUAUGAUUCAUAAGAUUUCUGAUCAAUACUAUGUGUGUGACAUUGAAAGGAGUCAAAAUGAAUGUAUGACUUAGCUGCAUUUAUCAU